This 714-nucleotide long non-coding RNA is filed under the name Jatropha curcas. RNAcentral describes it as "long non-coding RNA (JCUR_LNC002579)". Lineage: Eukaryota; Viridiplantae; Streptophyta; Magnoliopsida; Malpighiales; Euphorbiaceae. The record is from RNAcentral.
UGAAAACAAGUCUUAGCUGAAACAGGCAGUAAAGGUUCUUCAUAAUAGUAAUCCAAAGUCUGCAUUUUGUAAGAAAUAUUUCACAUUAUAUAUUCCUGUUCAAGCACGAAAUAGGCCAAACAAUAGUUGCAACUCGCAAGGUCCCUAAGAACAUCGAACCCGAAGAGAUGCCAAGUUCAAAAAAUUAACUAUAGCAAAUCGUAAAAAUUUUACAAUAUCUAAUAAUUUAAGCCUAAAAGCCCAAAUCAUGCAGCCAGCUUCAUUGUUGCAUAACUUGCGGUACAGCUAUGAGAUAUCCUUCUUUCUGAAGAAGAUCGAACAGCAAAUUGAAAGCUAUUGUGAAGCACCGACUUCCCGCAUGCUUUUUGAUGGAACUUUAGAAUCACUGCUAUCACUUUCUUCCUUUCUGCCAAACUCCAUUCCUUGGAAUGUCACGCUAGAUGAUCUAUACUGACUACCAAAGGCAGUGCCAAAGCCCCAUCCAAGACCUAGACCAACCCCACAGCCACCGCCUAUGAAAAAACAGAACAAUUCCAAGUUAUUAUUCAACAUCAAUAUAGGGAUGUCAAACAUUCAUUAACUAAAAUUUCACACGAUAGAUUAAUUGAGAUUUUGCUGUGAGUACAGAGAGAAUUAAGUUGUGUACCUGCACCCAUACCCAAGAUGUUCAAAGGCAUGCCUGCACCAUGCAAUCAUCAAACAUUAGCAAAAAAG